CCGCCAGUGAGUACAGAUAGAAACGACGGCGAACCGAGAUCCUGCCCCGAGUAGGCCUCAGCUUGUGAAAGCGACUGCGCCAGGUCACGUUCAUCUGCUAACGAACGAACGAAUAAGGAAAACACAACGUCAGCUCAUGCUUAUAUUCACAGAAAUGAUGUUGCAGAUUCCUAAUUAUAUCAUCUAUUUAAGUAAGCUUUGUCUGUAGGUCAUCAUAUGAAAUCGGUUUGGAAUCCUAAAGAAAAUACGUUGGUUACAGUGCAGCUUUAGCUAAUAAACACGUAAAUUUGAAUUCAUGGA
Long non-coding RNA from Varroa destructor (honeybee mite), 300 nucleotides. RefSeq lists it as uncharacterized. The record is from RefSeq and is a predicted model, not a curated record. NCBI's taxonomy places the organism in Eukaryota, Metazoa, Arthropoda, Arachnida, Mesostigmata, Varroidae.